RNAcentral lists this small RNA (493 nucleotides) under Pan troglodytes (chimpanzee). Its description in RNAcentral is "processed transcript". Lineage: Eukaryota; Metazoa; Chordata; Mammalia; Primates; Hominidae. The record is from RNAcentral.
CCAGAAGAUCUGCUAAAGGCAAUUUUUAACAUCAAAUUCUUAGCUAGAUUGGAUUCUCAACUUGAAAAUUUUGAGUGUAUCUUGGAUAAAAGAAAAAAACCUCUUCCGUAUGGAAGCCAUAAUAUAGCACUGGGACAACUACCAGAAAUGCCCUGGGAAUCAAAUAUCGAAAUAGUUGGAUCAAGGCUGCCACCAGGGGCUGAAAGGAUUGCUUUGGAAUUUUUGGAUUCAAAAGCACUUUGUAGAAAUAUCCCUCACAUGAAAGGAAAAUCUGCUAUGAAAAAACGACAUUUGGAAAUUCUGGGGUAUCGUGUAAUUCAGAUUUCCCAGUUUGAAUGGAACUCUAUGGCACUGUCAACAAAGGAUGCUCGGAUGGACUACCUGAGAGAAUGUAUAUUUGGAGAAGUCAGGUCAUGUUUGUAGUUUUUAUUUAAAAUGAAUGUUAUCAUGUGUUACAUUUGGACCUAUUUUAAUAAAGUGGCCUGUCUCAAUU